CGUUUUAUUUUUCCUCUCCAAACCAAUUAGUCAAAGCCUCAUUUUUCUUCAUGGUUGCUCCUCUCAAACCUUCCACACUUCUUCUUAUUUUCUAUCUUCAUUCUUAAAGUUUUGGAUUUAUAAUCAAGGCUUGCAGGCUUGAGACAUCAAAUAGAAAGUUGUGAAGAGGUAGUAGUGACGAGAUAACAAGUCUUAAGCAGGGGGAUUUGAGGAUCUUGUCCUCAACAAGAAAAUUCAUUGAGGUGCUUGGAGUAGCAAGAAGGUGUUCUUAACAACUGAGGUAAAGACAAAACUAAACAGUGAGGAUGGCGGGCUCGAGGCGUGGAUUACAUGUUAGGGGAUUGUCACGAUGUUUUGGUUUAAAAAUAUUUCAUUAAAGAUUAUGAUUAAAAUAGUUUUUGUAAAGCUUUAUAUUUUAAGGUUAAGAAUAAAUAAAUGUUUUGUUUUAAAAAUAAUGAGAUUUCAUGCUUAGUUAUUUUUCAUUAAAGAAGUCUUUUAUUGUCUUUAUCUUAAAUGGUUUUAAACGGACUAGCUAGUGUGACGUCUCGGAAAAUCGGAGCGUUACAGUACAUUAAAAUGAUGUUAUUGAAAGUAGAUAAAAAUAUAUGAUGACUGCAAACACUAUAUAAGUUUUGGAAGGAAUGAUGAAUAAAUUUUGCACUACUACAAUGUUAGCCUUUAGAGGCUGUUUUUUCACCCCUA
Long non-coding RNA from Cannabis sativa, 702 nucleotides. RefSeq lists it as uncharacterized. NCBI's taxonomy places the organism in Eukaryota, Viridiplantae, Streptophyta, Magnoliopsida, Rosales, Cannabaceae. The record is from RefSeq and is a predicted model, not a curated record. The transcript has 3 exons.